RNAcentral lists this ribosomal RNA (445 nucleotides) under uncultured bacterium. Its description in RNAcentral is "bacterial SSU rRNA". It matches the Rfam family "Bacterial small subunit ribosomal RNA", at positions 354 to 796 of the family's 1533-position model. The record is from RNAcentral.
GUAGGGAAUAUUGGGCAAUGGAUGCAAGUCUGACCCAGCCAUCCCGCGUGCCGGAAGAAGGCCCUCAGGGUUGCAAACGGCUUUUGACGGUGAAGAAUCGACAGGAUGCGUCCUGUUUUGACGGUAGCCGUUGAAUAAGCACCGGCUCACUCCGUGCCAGCAGCCGCUGUAAUUCGGAGGGUGCGAGCGUUGUCCGUAUUUAUUGGGUUUAAAGGUUGCGUAGGCUGGAAGGUCAGUCAGCGGUGAAAAGCUGUCGCUUAACGAUAGUCUUGCCGCAGAUACUUCCGUUCUUGGAUGAGGUGGAGGCCACUGGAACGGAUGGUGUAGCGGUGAAAUGCAUAGAGAUCAUCCAGAACACCGAUUGCGAAGGCAGGUGGCUGUACCUUAAUCGACGCUGAUGCACGAAAGCAUGGGGAGCAAACAGGAUUAGAAACCCCGGUAGUCC